Molecule: ribosomal RNA, 725 nt
Filed under: Echinoderma asperum
Lineage: Eukaryota; Fungi; Basidiomycota; Agaricomycetes; Agaricales; Agaricaceae
Description: eukaryotic LSU rRNA
Rfam family: 5.8S ribosomal RNA (bases 288-441)
Source: RNAcentral
GAUUCCAUUUAUUGAAUAAACCUGGUGGGUUGUCGCUGGCUCCUUGGAGCAUGUGCACGCUCAUCAUCUUUAUCCAUCCACCUGUGCACACUUUGUAGUCUUGGGAGAGAUGAGUGUCUUUGCUCUGUCGGGUGACACACCCGGAUGUGAGGACUGCUGUGCACACACCGUACAGCUUUACCUCUGCGCAUGUCUUCUUCUGCCCAGGUCUAUGUGGUUUCAUACACCCCAAUAGCAUGUCAUAGAAUGUAUUCAAUGGGCCUAUGUGCCUAUAUAAAACUAUAUACAACUUUCAGCAACGGAUCUCUUGGCUCUCGCAUCGAUGAAGAACGCAGCGAAAUGCGAUAAGUAAUGUGAAUUGCAGAAUUCAGUGAAUCAUCGAAUCUUUGAACGCACCUUGCGCUCCUUGGUAUUCCGAGGAGCAUGCCUGUUUGAGUGUCAUUAACAUAUCAACCCUUCUAGCUUCUUUGGAGGCUGGUUUGUGGCUUGGAUGCUGGGGGUUUUGCUGGCUUCUCAAGGUCAGCUCUCCUGAAAUGCAUUAGCGGAACCGUUUGCGGGUCUGUCACUGGUGUGAUAAUUAUCUGCGCCAAAGUCAGAUGUGCUCUCUGUGUGUUCAGCUUACAAUAGUCCCAUUCACUGGGACAAACUUAAUGAAUGCUUGGCCUCAAAUCAGGUAGGACUACCCGCUGAACUUAAGCAUAUAAAACGGGAGAAAAAGAAGAAUA